RNAcentral lists this ribosomal RNA (496 nucleotides) under Phlegmacium subaccedens. RNAcentral's name for it is "eukaryotic LSU rRNA". The stretch from base 126 to 279 matches the Rfam family "5.8S ribosomal RNA". Lineage: Eukaryota; Fungi; Basidiomycota; Agaricomycetes; Agaricales; Cortinariaceae. The record is from RNAcentral.
UAGUCACUCAGGUUUGAGGAUUGACUUUAUGUCUCUCUUUACAUUUCCAGGCCUAUGUUUCUUUAUAUACCCCAAUGUAUGUCAUAGAAUGUAACCAAUGGGCCUUUGUGCCUAUAAACCUAUACAACUUUCAGCAACGGAUCUCUUGGCUCUCGCAUCGAUGAAGAACGCAGCGAAAUGCGAUAAGUAAUGUGAAUUGCAGAAUUCAGUGAAUCAUCGAAUCUUUGAACGCACCUUGCGCUCCUUGGUAUUCCGAGGAGCAUGCCUGUUUGAGUGUCAUUAAUAUAUCAACCUCUUCAACUUUUGUUUGUCGAGUGUUGGAUUUGGGGGUCCUUUUUGCUGGUCUUCUAAAGGUCAGCUCCCCUGAAAUGCAUUAGCAGAACAAUUUGUGGAUCGUUCAUUGGUGUGAUAACUAUCUACGCUAUUGACGUGAAACAAGUUCAGCUUCUAACAGUCCAUUGACUUGGACAAAUUUUCAUUAAUGUGACCUCAAAUC